Molecule: ribosomal RNA, 359 nt
Filed under: uncultured bacterium
Lineage: Bacteria
Description: bacterial SSU rRNA
Rfam family: Bacterial small subunit ribosomal RNA
Source: RNAcentral
AAUGAACGCUGGCGGCGCGCCUAAUACAUGCAAGUCGAGCGAGAAGACGUAGCAAUACGUUUGUAAAGCGGCGAACGGGUGAGGAAUACAUGGGUAACCUACCCUAGAGUGGGGAAUAACUAGCCGAAAGGUUAGCUAAUACCGCGUACGCUCCUUGGACUUCGGUUCAGGGAGGAAAGCGAUGCCGAGGGUAUCGCGCUCUUGGAUGGGCUCAUGUCCUAUCAGCUUGGGUGAGGUAACGGCUCACCAAGGCUUCGACGGGUAGCUGGUCUGAGAGGACGAUCAGCCACACUGGCACUGCGACACGGGCCAGACUCCUAGGGAGGCAGCAGUAAGGAAUAUUGCGCAAUGGGCGAAAG